UACGUAGGGUGCGAGCGUUGUCCGGAAUUAUUGGGCGUAAAGGGCUCGUAGGCGGUUUGUCGCGUCGGGAGUGAAAUCCACUGGCUUAACUGGUGGCUUGCUUUCGAUACGGGCAGACUGGAGGUAUGCAGGGGAGAACGGAAUUCCUGGUGUAGCGGUGAAAUGCGCAGAUAUCAGGAGGAACACCGGUGGCGAAGGCGGUUCUCUGGGCCGAUACUGACGCUGAUACGCGAAAGCGUGGGGAGCAAACAGG
Molecule: ribosomal RNA, 253 nt
Filed under: uncultured bacterium
Lineage: Bacteria
Description: partial 16S ribosomal RNA
Rfam family: Bacterial small subunit ribosomal RNA
Source: RNAcentral